RNAcentral lists this unclassified non-coding RNA (221 nucleotides) under Phylloporus sp. Its description in RNAcentral is "partial contains small subunit ribosomal RNA, internal transcribed spacer 1, and 5.8S ribosomal RNA". The stretch from base 1 to 46 matches the Rfam family "Eukaryotic small subunit ribosomal RNA", at positions 1786 to 1831 of the family's 1831-position model. Lineage: Eukaryota; Fungi; Basidiomycota; Agaricomycetes; Boletales; Boletaceae. The record is from RNAcentral.
AAGUCGUAACAAGGUUUCCGUAGGUGAACCUGCGGAAGGAUCAUUAUGAUAUUGAAUACAUUAUGUAUGUAUGAUGAGUGUGAAGCGGUGGUGCUAGUGUGUGAGUAGCAGUAUGCGGUAACGUAUAUGCGGCUGCAGCAUGCAGAGCACCACGGCAAGACGAUAUAACGUGUGACGUGACAACCUAAACAUAACUUUUAACAAUGGAUCUCUUGGCUCUC